UAGGGAAUCUUCGGCAAUGGGGGGAACCCUGACCGAGCAACGCCGCGUGAGUGAAGAAGGUUUUCGGAUCGUAAAGCUCUGUUGUUAAGGAAGAACGAGUGUGAGAAUGGAAAGUUCAUACUGUGACGGUACUUAACCAGAAAGGGACGGCUAACUACGUGCCAGCAGCCGCGGUAAUACGUAGGUCCCGAGCGUUGUCCGGAUUUAUUGGGCGUAAAGCGAGCGCAGGCGGUUAGAUAAGUCUGAAGUUAAAGGCAGUGGCUCAACCAUUGUAGGCUUUGGAAACUGUUUAACUUGAGUGCAGAAGGGGGGAGUGGAAUUCCAUGUGUAGCGGUGAAAUGCGUAGAUAUAUGGAGGAACACCGGUGGCGAAAGCGGCUCUCUGGUCUGUAACUGACGCUGAGGCUCGAAAGCGUGGGGAGCAAACAGG
RNAcentral lists this ribosomal RNA (429 nucleotides) under Bacteroidota bacterium. RNAcentral describes it as "Bacteroidetes bacterium partial 16S ribosomal RNA". It matches the Rfam family "Bacterial small subunit ribosomal RNA", at positions 355 to 776 of the family's 1533-position model. The record is from RNAcentral. Lineage: Bacteria; Pseudomonadati; Bacteroidota.